This is an RNA transcript of Nerophis lumbriciformis (worm pipefish), 5060 nucleotides long. It is a transcript of the gene named calcium/calmodulin-dependent protein kinase kinase 1, alpha a, with no coding region annotated. The record is from RefSeq and is a predicted model, not a curated record. Lineage: Eukaryota; Metazoa; Chordata; Actinopteri; Syngnathiformes; Syngnathidae.
UUUAACAGCAUAAAUGUUCAGCGUGUGAAUACAUGGGAUUGUUUGACGCCAAUAUGACACAAUGGCGCAGUGACGCGGCAGGAACAUGGCGGAUCAUAGGACCAAGGGGAUAUAUAUUUAAUAAAGUUUAUGAGGGUGCGCGCAGCAGUCAGUGAGAGACAAGCAGAAAAUGUUUGCAUGACGAAGCAAACAAAGACAGAUUUAUCGAUCCGACCAUCGAGAUGUUUACACAUUAAAUACGUGUUUGCUUUGACGUGUUCCGGGCGAACAAGACGUGAGAAUAUGGAACACAUUUCCCCCGAGCAGGUCUUGGAUCACAUCUAGCGGGUCUACAGCACAUCUACAUGACAUCAGCAGGAAUCUAAGCGGAACAUUUUUAGUGCCUCUUUCACACCGGAAGAGGAGCUUCGGCGCUCAUUUGGCGCAAGUUAAUUGCAGAACAACCAGUGGGUACACUUCAAGUUGGAGCUUUUGGGUGGCUAACUUUGCUCUCCCUGCCAUCUUCCCUGAGCCUACCUCUCUUCCCGCCAUGGCGGUGAGCAGCGAGCCCACUUUAGAGAAGCUGGAGUCCACAUCUGAGGAACAAACCAGUAGUCUCACCGACAUCAUGGCUGCCAUGGCUACAAAAGACCUCAGCAGUUCUCUGAGAAAUGGAGGAGCUCAGCUGGACAAGCCUCAGCCAUCACAGCCUCAGUUGACCGGAAGGAAGUCCUCGCUGCAGGAACGAGGCACUUACCUGUCCUCUGCAGGGGGCUACACACACAUCUCCCCCCGGGUAGCUCAAAGGCCGACAGUGGAGUCUAAACGUGUGUCCAUAUCCGAUUCUCAGAAUUGUGUCCAGUUGAACCAGUAUAAAUUGGAGAGUGAGAUUGGAAAGGGAUCUUAUGGUGUGGUCAAACUCGCCUAUAACGAAGAUGAUGACAAACAUUAUGCCAUGAAAGUUGUUUCAAAGAAGAAGUUAAUGAAGCAGUGUGGUUUUCCACGUCGCCCACCUCCUAGGGGACCCAAGGCAGUCCAAGGAGAGCAGCCGAAGUUCCUCGGACCAUUGGAAAGAGUUUACCAAGAGAUUGCCAUCCUUAAAAAACUGGACCAUGUCAACAUUGUCAAAUUAGUGGAGGUGCUGGAUGAUCCUGCAGAAGACAAUCUUCACAUGGUGUUUGAGUUGAUGCGCAAUGGGCCGGUGAUGGAAGUGCCUACAAACAACCCUUUGUCAGAAGAACAGGCAAGGUUAUAUCUCCGUGACGUCAUCCUUGGUAUAGAGUACUUGCACUACCAGAAGAUUGUUCACAGGGACAUCAAACCUUCUAAUUUGUUGCUCGGGGAUGACGGCCAUGUGAAGAUUGCAGAUUUUGGAGUGAGCAACCAGUUUGAGGGAAGCGAUGCCAUGCUGUCCAGCACAGCUGGUACUCCUGCCUUCAUGGCUCCCGAGACCUUGUCAGACAAGCGCAAGAGCUUCAGUGGGAAGGCGCUGGAUGUUUGGGCCAUGGGAGUCACUCUCUACUGUUUUGUCUUUGGAAAGUGCCCGUUUAUCGAUGAGUACAUAUUGGCUCUGCACAAUGAGAUACGGAGCAGGCCUGUGGAUUUCCCAGAAAUACCAAAAAUAAAUGAAGAGCUGCGGACCUUGAUUUUGAGGAUGCUAGAUAAGAACCCGGACACCCGCAUCACCAUCCCUGAAAUGAAGAUGAACCAAUGGGUCACUAAGGAGGGCACUGAGCCGCUUCCUCUGGAGGACGAGCACUGCAGUGUGGUGGAGGUGACGGAAGAGGACAUCAAGAACUCGGUCAAGUUUGUUCCCAGUCUGUCUGCUGUGAUCUUGGUAAAAGCCAUGCUGAGGAAACGUUCUUUCAGCAACCCGUUUGAGUGUCCAAGCCGGCGAGAGGAGAGGUCCAUGUCUGCACCAGGCAGCCUGCUUAUCAGGCAGCAGGGUAAUACAUGCAGCAGUCCCAAUGUGCAAUAAUCCAACACCUGACAGGUGAACCACAAGGAACUUAAGUAGGCCUAAUUACACACAGGAAACAGGUAGGCUUGAGGGAAACAUAAUACAAAUGAAGUUGCAGCCAACCUUAGAAACUAAGCAAGGAGUACAUCACAAAACACAAGGAAAUAUUAAUAUUAAUAUUUAUAACUCCAAAACUGUCAUGUGGGAUCAUAACAAUUUGUUCGGAUCUUGCAAGGUUCACGGUUACAUUUUGUUGAAAAAAAGUAAACUGGCUGACUCAAUCAAUGGAUUUGGAAGCCAUUGUCAUUGUGAAGCCACUUGUGAUUAAGAGCUAUGUAUUAAGUAAAAUGUUGUUGAUUGAUUGAUUUUAUUUAAAAAAUAACAAUGAUGAAACAAACAGAACAAAAAGGUGAAGGUAAGUGUUGGUUAUACUUUUCUUAUGGUACUGUGUUUGGAAAUUAAAAAUGUAUUAUAUCUAACAGCAAUACUUAAUAUACCUGUAAAUACCUGUAACUCCAGCCUAUAGUUUAGCUUAGAGAAAUUGCAGAAGGACAUACAUUACAGUUUGAUGUGUAAUGUUUUAGCUUGAUUAUAAUUUCAAUUUCAUUUGGAUCCGUUAAUAAAUAUGUUGCAUCAUAUUGUACUUUCUGUUCCGACAACACAGUGAAUGUUGACAUAAUUUAGACAUAGUUGCAAAUGGUGAUUAAUCAUGAUUAAUUGAUUUGCAGAGUGUGAUUAUUCUGAUUAAAAGUGUGACAGCGCUAUAAAAUUCAUCCGCCACAAAAGUACAGUCACCGUGUUUGACUUGUCCGUCUUUUCUUCCACUUGGCUGCAGGGAUUCUUGGCCUCUCAGGCCCUCUUUAAAACGUCACUCCUCACUCAGAAAGAGCAGCACAGGCGAUGAACCCCGAGAAGGCGAGCUGGAGGACGUGCAUGAAGAUGAAGCCUCUUCUUGAACUGAAACAUGCUUCAGCUACUCGCUCCUCACUUUGUGUUCUUCACAGCAAAGAUGCUCCAAAAUCCAAUGCAAUGAUGCUUUUUAUACUCAGUAAGCCACUUCUUUUUUUGUGUGGGAAAAGGAAAUGCUUGAUUUCACACCUUAUAUUGUCUUACAAAUUAUUAUUAUUAUUAUUAUUAUUAUUAUUGAUGUCUUAGCAGUAUUAUUACCUCUAAUCAAUCCAUGUUCUUUUCACCGUCCAAUGGCCGUGUGGGACUGUUUAAGCUAAUUAAGAUAAUGAAGAAAAUUAAGCUACAAGUUUCAUGAAGAUGCACCUAAUAUAAUAUUUAUAAGUAAUAUAAUAGCAUUGACAGUGCCGACAAUCAAUCAAUAUGUGAUUGAUCAAUCAAAAAUUAAGUGAUUGAUUGAAAAAGCAAAUGUUUUUUAAUCGAUUACUGUAUUGAUCAUCUGUUCACUUCCUGCAUUUUCUGCAUAUCCAUACAUACAGAAACUCAUGUUUUCUUGUUUCAUAUAAGAUAAAACAAUGAAAAAGAACUGUGAAUAUAGUCGAUACAUUUGAAUGAUGAAUGAAUGAAAAAUGCAUAACUCAUUAAAUUUAUUAAUAUACACCUUUUUUUAUGUAAAACUUUUAAUAAACCUUGAUAAAGCAGUAGAAAAGAUAGAUGGAUGCAAUUAUGGAUGAUGAAUGGAUGAAUGUGUGGUCCUCCAGGGAAGUUUUUCUUUUGCGGAAUUUAUUUGAACAAACAUAAGGUUUUUUGUUUUUUUCUUAGGUUUAUGUUUUUUUGUUUUUUUUAAUCUGUUAAUAUGAUGAUUAUUACAUUAAUAUUCAAUUGGCUAGUAUCAAAUUGCUUUGCUUCCCUCUAAACGGAGGUCACCGUUUCAGUUGAUCCUAUAGCUCGGUUGAUAGAGCGGCCGUGCCAGCAACUUGAGGGCUCCAGGUUCGAUCCCCGCUUCCACCAUCCUAGUCACUGCUGUUGUGUCCUUGGGCAAGACACUUGCUCCCAGUGCCACCGACACUGGUUUAAAUGUAACUUAGAUAUUGGGUUUCACUAUGUAAAGCGCUUUGAGUCACUAGAGAAAAGCGCUAUAUAAAUAUAAUUCACUUCACUGUCCUUAUUUGUCUAUAUAUAUAUGGUGGAUCGCUUUUGUUGACAUAGCACGUGAGAUCAUAAGACGAGAAAAUUGGUUUGUUUAUGUUGGCAUAAUAUUGUUUACGUCGUCUUGUCACAAGCAGAUUUGUGGAAACAAAGAGCAGCAGGAGAGAAAGUGUCACUCCCUUUAAAGCUUCCAGUACAACCAAAGAUCUUUUCUUCCGCUUUUUGUUCAUAACGGAAUAUUAUUGUUUGAAAAAUAAUUUAUUUUUAUUCUUGUUAAGUUACAUGUACUUUGGUUAUGUUGACAGCUGCUUAUUGUCGAUGUGUGAGUCAGCCAAUCUGAGGUCAACUUAAGCGGCUCCCACUGUACUUGAUAUAAAACACAGUACUUUAGUAAAGUACUUUACUAAAGCACUUGACCUAUAAUAUUUAGACUAUUUCAUAUAUUCCUGAGUCAUCACAUAUUUUUAUCAUAUUGAAUUGUUUCCACAUUUUAUUGAAACUUUAUGAAAAUGUUUUCUUUUAUUAAAGUUUUCACGCAUCAUUUCUGCUGCAUCAGCACUUUUGAGGAGCUGCUAAACAUUGUGAUUGAGCUUCGCCUUAAUGUCCUUUAUGAAAAAUUAUAUUCACAUUAUGUGUUUUGAAGAAAGUGUGCUGCUUCAAGAAACUACUUACUGCAUGCAUCAAGUGAGAAAGGACAAACUUAUUUUCAUGACUUCUUUUAAAACAUGCUGACAAAGCAGAUAUUUAUUACAUGAUAUUCAUAUAACUUUUUGUUCGUCCUGUUUUUUAUGGUUUAUUGCUGUUGCUUGUGUAAAUGAAAAUACUGAAAAUAGAAACUUCAAAGGGCUUUUUCAACUCAUAUUUUGUGUCGUAACUUUGUGUCCUUUCUAACUUGAAAUGUCAUCAACUGAUUUACUUUAAAUAUCACAUUUUACUAUGUACAGUAUUACUACAUUAUACUACAGGCAGUACUAAUACUUUCUUCUACACACAGUACUAUACAUUCCACUGCGUACACAUGCGAGGCAAGGAGUGAACUGUCUGUAAAACACAAUAAAUACUUCCC